This is a long non-coding RNA of Oncorhynchus gorbuscha (pink salmon), 401 nucleotides long. RefSeq lists it as uncharacterized. The record is from RefSeq and is a predicted model, not a curated record. The transcript has 3 exons. Lineage: Eukaryota; Metazoa; Chordata; Actinopteri; Salmoniformes; Salmonidae.
GCCAUGACUGCUGUCCCACUGAGGAGGCUCUGCCUGAUUUUAAGAGUGAAAUCCAGCGUGUGAGUUCCACUUUGAAGAAGGAAUUAGAAAGCAUGAACACAGCCAGGAUGUGCCAUCCAACCUGGGAGGAGCAUAUACAGGGUCAAGCCCAGUGUGGAGAGGAGCAGAUAAGGGAGGAGUUUAAGACACCACCAGUACCUGGAAGAUGAAGAGACAGCCAGGACAGCUGCCCUGAGAAAGGAAAUGCAACAGAGAUGUCAAGUGAUGCGAAAAAGAGCUGAGCCUUUGACCAAGCAGAUUUCAACCCUAAUAGAGACUAUUCAGAUGAUCAAGGACAUGGAUGUUGACACAAUCACAUUCCUUCAGGUAAGGGUAAAGAUGUUUUAAAUGACAAAGAUGUA